RNAcentral lists this long non-coding RNA (376 nucleotides) under Phascolarctos cinereus (koala). Its description in RNAcentral is "lncRNA (ENSPCIG00000018530.2)". The record is from RNAcentral. Lineage: Eukaryota; Metazoa; Chordata; Mammalia; Diprotodontia; Phascolarctidae.
GUUUUUGUUAUGUGAGCAGCUCCUUACAACUUCGGAAGUAAAGCCUAAGGAAAGCCAGUCCUGACUCCAGCCACUAUCCGUUAGAAGAUUCGGCACAGGGGCUGCACUCUCUGGUCUCUUGUCUCUAGGCUUAAGAGAACUGAACCUUUCGAGGGCCUUGAGUAAAGUUGCUUCAGGGAUCCAGAAAUGAGUCACAAAGAAGAAAAACUGAAAAUAAUCUCAGAGGAGUUUGUUGAAAAUGAAGAUGAGGAGGCAGAAAAACUGAAGAAAAAGUUGAAAGUCCAAAAACAAAGAAGAAAGAAACAGGUAGGGUUAUUACUAUUUUGACAUUUGUCUUUCUUUUUAAUUAAUGUCUAACUUUAACAAUGUUGUAGCA